AUUGAACGCUGGCGGAAUGCUUUACACAUGCAAGUCGAACGGCAGCACGGACUUCGGUCUGGUGGCGAGUGGCGAACGGGUGAGUAAUGUAUCGGAAUGUGCCCAGUCGUGGGGGAUAACGUAGUGAAAAUUACGCUAAUACCGCAUACGAUCUAUGGAUGAAAGCGGGGGAUCGCAAGACCUCGCGCGAUUGGAGCGGCCGAUAUCAGAUUAGGUAGUUGGUGGGGUAAAGGCCCACCAAGCCAACGAUCUGUAGCUGGUCUGAGAGGACGACCCGCCACACUGGAACUGAGACACGGUCCAGACUCCUACGGGAGGCAGCAGUGGGGAAUUUUGGACAAUGGGCGAAAGCCUGAUCCAGCCGUUCCGCGUGCAGGAUGAAGGCCCUCGGGUUGUAAACUGCUUUUGUACAGAACGAAAAGGUUUCUACUAAUACUAGGAGCUCAUGACGGUACUGUAAGAAUAAGCACCGGCUAACUACGUGCCAGCCGCCGCAGUAA
This 500-nucleotide ribosomal RNA is filed under the name uncultured bacterium. RNAcentral describes it as "partial 16S ribosomal RNA". It matches the Rfam family "Bacterial small subunit ribosomal RNA", at positions 30 to 523 of the family's 1533-position model. The record is from RNAcentral.